This 393-nucleotide ribosomal RNA is filed under the name uncultured eukaryote. Its description in RNAcentral is "SSU rRNA". It matches the Rfam family "Eukaryotic small subunit ribosomal RNA", at positions 587 to 985 of the family's 1831-position model. The record is from RNAcentral.
AGCUCCAAUAGCGUAUAUUAAAGUUGUUGCGGUUAAAAAGUUCGUAGUUGGAUUUCUGCUGGAUUCGGUCGGUCCGUGCUAUGCGCGAGUAUCUGUCCGAGCCCGGCAUCCUCGCGGAUCACGUUCCUGUGCUUCACUGCAUGGGUCGGAGUUCGCGACUUUUACUUUGAGGAAAUUAGAGUGUUCACGGCAGGCUAACGCCAUGAAUAUAUUAGCAUGGAAUAAUAAUAUAGGACCUUGGUUCUAUUUUGUUGGUUUCUAGGGCUAAGGUAAUGAUUAAUAGGGACAAUUGGGGGCAUUCGUAUUAACGCGUCAGAGGUGGAAUUCUUGGAUUGCGUUACGACGAACUACUGCGAAAGCAUUUGCCAAGGAUGUUUUCAUUGAUCAAGAACG